This 358-nucleotide non-coding RNA is filed under the name Helianthus annuus (common sunflower). RNAcentral's name for it is "Eukaryotic small subunit ribosomal RNA". It matches the Rfam family "Eukaryotic small subunit ribosomal RNA", at positions 647 to 1549 of the family's 1831-position model. The record is from Rfam by way of RNAcentral. Lineage: Eukaryota; Viridiplantae; Streptophyta; Magnoliopsida; Asterales; Asteraceae.
AACGCGUCUAUUUACCUCCGUUUGACAAGUUUGUCGCAACAUGCGGAUCCUAAAUCGACUUAUUUAUUCUUUUCUACGUUUUACGUUUUUGUCUAAUUGUUUCAUUAAUCAAGAACGAAAGUUGGGGCCUCGAAGACGAUCAGAUACCGUCCUAGUCUCAACCAUAAACGAUGCCGACCAGGGAUCAGUGGAUGUUGCUUUUAGGACUCCGCUGGCACCUUAUUAGAAAUGAAAGUUUUUGGGUUCUGGGGGAAGUAUGGUCGCAAGGCUGAGACUUAAAGGAAUUGACGGAAGGGCACCACCAGGAGUGGCACGAUGAUGUGUAGAGUGCACCUUGUGCACAUAGUUUGGAGCGCAA